This 501-nucleotide ribosomal RNA is filed under the name uncultured bacterium. RNAcentral describes it as "partial 16S ribosomal RNA". It matches the Rfam family "Bacterial small subunit ribosomal RNA", at positions 30 to 523 of the family's 1533-position model. The record is from RNAcentral.
ACUGAACGCUGGCGGCAGGCUUAACACAUGCAAGUCGAGCGGAGCGAGGGUGCUUGCACCUUAGCUUAGCGGCGGACGGGUGAGUAAUGCUUAGGAAUCUGCCUAUUAGUGGGGGACAACAUUCCGAAAGGGAUGCUAAUACCGCACACGCCCUACGGGGGAAAGCAGGGGAUCUUCGGACCUUGCGCGAACAGAGGAGCGUAAGUCGGAUUAGCUAGUUGGUGGGGUAAAGUCCUACCAAGGCGACGAUCUGUAGCGGGUCUGAGAGGAUGAUCCGCCACACUGGGACUGAGACACGGCCCAGACUCCUACGGGAGGCAGCAGUGGGGAAUAUUGGACAAUGGGCGGAAGCCUGAUCCAGCCAUGCCGCGUGUGUGAAGAAGGCCUUUUGGUUGUAAAGCACUUUAAGCGAGGAGGAGGCUACUAGUAUUAAUACUACUGGAUAGUGGACGUUACUCGCAGAAUAAGCACCGGCUAACUCUGUGCCAGCCGCCGCCGUAA